This 1063-nucleotide long non-coding RNA is filed under the name Homo sapiens (human). RNAcentral's name for it is "HSALNT0054951". The record is from RNAcentral. Lineage: Eukaryota; Metazoa; Chordata; Mammalia; Primates; Hominidae.
AAUUGGGUUUGAUGAUCAUUUCGUGGUGUCCAAAGUUUGGGGAUAGAAAGAAACACAGUCAAUAAAUUUCUAUUUUGGAGAUGACUUCAUUUCUAUUUUUUUUUUUUUUUUUUUUGAGACAGAGUUUAUUACUCAGGCUGGAGUGCAGUGGUGCAAUCUCAGUUCACUGCAACCUCCACCUCCCGGGUUCAAGCGAUUUCUCCUGCCUCAGCCUCCCAAGUAACUGAGAUUACAGGUGUGUACCACCAUGCCUGGCUAGCUUUUUGUAUUUUUAGUAGAGACGGGAUUUUAUCAUGUUGGCCAGGCUGGUCUUGAACUUUUGAUCUCAAGUGAUCUGCCUGCCUCCGCCUCCCAAAGUGUUGGGAUUACAGGUUUGAGUCAUCAUGCCCGACCCCCCAUUUCUUAUAUUCAUUGAGUCUCUCCAUUUCUCCCAGGAGCCAAUGGGGCUUUAAAUCUCCCACCCGUCUCAAUUUCAUGCUCCAAAAUUGGUUCUUGUCCUGGUACUUCUGGUCCCAGCUCAGUCAUAGGCAGGGUAGGGCAGCACGAGAGGCUGUGCUGAACGCUGGAAAGGCCCCCAAUCACAGCAUGGUCACGGUAGGAAGUUCGGCCAGAAGAGAGGCGAAGUCCACAUCUUAUCUCCAUGGUUGGAGUUUUCCUCUUGCUGAUGUGACAAAGUAACCUGACGAGAUAAUGAUUUCCAGGUUGGUUCCAAAUGGUCUGGGAUGAGGUGAGUGCAGAGGGAGGGCCAGGGGGAGCUGCAGCCGGAUGAUGCAUGGGGCUGUUCUGCAGGACAUCUCUCCCAGGAGUUCAAAGGGUUCUGACGAUAUUCUCUAACUCACCACUGGCAUGCCCGGGGAAGAACAGAUGGUCUGUGGUCAGAUAAACCACCUAGACUGGGUGUUCCCUCUUGCUUCAGCCUUGUCCUUCCUUACAAGAUAAUGUGAACACCAGGCCACCUACCUGGGCCGAAAUUCAGGUGUUCCCUCUAGACCCAGGGAGUGCAGUUCUUCCUGCCACCCGCAGGGUCUGUGCAGCCCAGGAAGGCAAGACUGACGGCGUUCCU